CCUACGGGAGGCAGCAGUGGGGGAUAUUGCACAAUGGGGGAAACCCUGAUGCAGCAACGCCGCGUGAGGGAAGAAGUAUUUCGGUUUGUAAACUUCUUUUAGCAGGGAAGAAAAUGACAGUAUCUCACCAAGAAGCACCGGCUAACUACGCGCCAGCAGCCGCGGUAAUACGGAGGGGGCAAGCGUUAUCCGGAUUUACUGGGUGUAAAGGGAGCGUAGGCGGGGUUGUAAGUCUGAUGUGAAAGCUCGUGGCUUAACCCCAGAACUGCAUUUGAAACUGUGUAACUGGAGUACUGGAGAGGCAGACGGAAUUCCUGGUGUAGCGGUGAAAUGCGUAGAGAUCAGGAGGAACACCAGUGGCGAAGGCGGCCUGCUGGACUGCAACUGACGUUGAGGCGCGAAAGCGUGGGGAGCAAACAGGAUUAGAUACCCGAGUAGUC
Molecule: ribosomal RNA, 440 nt
Filed under: uncultured bacterium
Lineage: Bacteria
Description: partial 16S ribosomal RNA
Rfam family: Bacterial small subunit ribosomal RNA
Source: RNAcentral